RNAcentral lists this ribosomal RNA (115 nucleotides) under Marinivivus vitaminiproducens. The record is from RNAcentral. Lineage: Bacteria; Pseudomonadati; Pseudomonadota; Alphaproteobacteria; Geminicoccales; Geminicoccaceae.
CCUGGUGGCCUUGGCGGGGGUGCUCCACCCGAUCCCAUGCCGAACUCGGCCGUGAAACCCCCCAGCGCCUAUGGUACUGCCCUCUUAAGGGUGGGAGAGUUGGUCGUCGCCAGGC